AAUAGAUACCCAGGUAGUCCAUGCCGUAAACGUUGGGCACUAGGUGUGGGGGACAUUCCACGUUUUCCGCGCCGUAGCUAACGCAUUAAGUGCCCCGCCUGGGGAGUACGGCCGCAAGGCUAAAACUCAAAGGAAUUGACGGGGGCCCGCACAAGCGGCGGAGCAUGCGGAUUAAUUCGAUGCAACGCGAAGAACCUUACCAAGGCUUGACAUGUGCCAGACCGCCUCAGAGAUGGGGUUUCCCUUCGGGACUGGUUCACAGGUGGUGCAUGGUUGUCGUCAGCUCGUGUCGUGAGAUGUUGGGUUAAGUCCCGCAACGAGCGCAACCCUCGUUCCAUGUUGCCAGCACGUAGUGGUGGGGACUCAUGGGAGACUGCCGGGGUCAACUCGGAGGAAGGUGGGGAUGACGUCAAAUCAUCAUGCCCCUUAUGUCUUGGGCUUCACGCAUGCUACAAUGGCCGGUACAAUGGGUUGCGAUACUGUGAGGUGGAGCUAAUCCCUAAAAGCCGGUCUCAGUUCGGAUUGGGGUCUGCAACUCCG
This 540-nucleotide ribosomal RNA is filed under the name uncultured bacterium. RNAcentral describes it as "bacterial SSU rRNA". It matches the Rfam family "Bacterial small subunit ribosomal RNA", at positions 777 to 1314 of the family's 1533-position model. The record is from RNAcentral.